CCUACGGGCGGCAGCAGUGAGGAAUAUUGGUCAAUGGGCGGGAGCCUGAACCAGCCAAGUCGCGUGAAGGAAGAAGGUACUUAGUAUUGUAAACUUCUUUUGUCGGGGAACAAAGGCGGAGACGCGUCUCCGGAUGAGUGUACCCGAAGAAAAAGCAUCGGCUAACUCCGUGCCAGCAGCCGCGGUACUACGGAGGAUGCGAGCGUUAUCCGGAUGUAUUGGGUGUAAAGGGUGCGCAGGCGGGAGAUCAAGUCAGCGGUAAAAGGUCGGGGCUCAACCCCGGCCAGCGGUUGAAAAUGGUUUUCUAUAGUUGGAGAGAAGUAUGCGGAAUUCGUGGUGUAGCGGUGAAAUGCAUAGAUAUCACGAAGAACUCCGAUUGCGAAGGCAGCAUACCGGCUCCAUACUGACGCUGAGGCACGAAAGCGUGGGGAUCGAACAGGAUUAGAUACCCUAGUAGUC
Molecule: ribosomal RNA, 459 nt
Filed under: uncultured bacterium
Lineage: Bacteria
Description: partial 16S ribosomal RNA
Rfam family: Bacterial small subunit ribosomal RNA
Source: RNAcentral